GUGGAUGUAGGUGCAAGGUUAGCACCGAACCACUAUAAAUCUUUGUGUUUGUGGUGUGCUUUAUCGCUUUAUCUUAUUUCUUUAUUAUAUCCUUGCAAUACUACUUUAGGUAAUUAAUAUUGAUUUAAAGCCAUUGUUUUGUUCUUCAUAAGUUAUUUGUUGGGCUUAAAAUUUUUAGAAACCCAAUUCACCCCCCCUCUUGGGUUGCAUAGCUGGGCAACAG
This 223-nucleotide long non-coding RNA is filed under the name Elaeis guineensis (African oil palm). RNAcentral describes it as "long non-coding RNA (EGUI_LNC000020)". Lineage: Eukaryota; Viridiplantae; Streptophyta; Magnoliopsida; Arecales; Arecaceae. The record is from RNAcentral.